RNAcentral lists this transfer RNA (77 nucleotides) under Candidatus Thorarchaeota archaeon. RNAcentral's name for it is "tRNA-Glu". Lineage: Archaea; Promethearchaeati; Candidatus Thorarchaeota. The record is from RNAcentral.
GGGCCGGUAGUUUAGCCUGGUACUGCGAUUCCUUCUCGUGGAGGAGGUCUCGUGUUCAAAUCACGACCGGUCCACCA